UAAACCCUGAGAGUGGCAUCUAAAUGUUUA
This 30-nucleotide non-coding RNA is filed under the name Mus musculus (house mouse). The record is from RNAcentral. Lineage: Eukaryota; Metazoa; Chordata; Mammalia; Rodentia; Muridae.